RNAcentral lists this unclassified non-coding RNA (378 nucleotides) under plant metagenome. RNAcentral describes it as "partial contains 5.8S ribosomal RNA, internal transcribed spacer 2, and large subunit ribosomal RNA". The stretch from base 1 to 105 matches the Rfam family "5.8S ribosomal RNA", at positions 50 to 154 of the family's 154-position model. The record is from RNAcentral.
GAAAUGCGAUAAGUAAUGUGAAUUGCAGAAUUCAGUGAAUCAUCGAAUCUUUGAACGCACCUUGCGCUCCUUGGUAUUCCUUGGAGCAUGCCUGUUUGAGUAUCAUGAAAUCUUCAAAGUAAAUCUUUUGUUAACUCAAUUGGUUUCUACUUUGGUAUUGGAGGUCUUUGCAGCUUCACACCUGCUCCUCUUUGUUCAUUAGCUGGAUCUCAGUGUUAUGCUUGGUUCCACUCGGCGUGAUAAGUUAUCUAUCGCUGAGGACACUGUAAAAGGUGGCCAAGGUAAAUGCAGAUGAACCGCUUCUAAUAGUCCAUUGACUUGGACAAUACUUUUAUGAUCUGAUCUCAAAUCAGGUAGGACUACCCUCUGAACUUAAGC